This is a long non-coding RNA of Gossypium arboreum, 460 nucleotides long. RefSeq lists it as uncharacterized. NCBI's taxonomy places the organism in Eukaryota, Viridiplantae, Streptophyta, Magnoliopsida, Malvales, Malvaceae. The record is from RefSeq and is a predicted model, not a curated record. The transcript is spliced from 2 exons.
AUUUACGAGCUUUGGGGCAAAAGUGUAAAUAUGCAAAAGUUUAGGGGCAAAAUUGUAAUUUUACCAAAAUAUGAUUUUGGGUCAAUUUGAAUAAUGUGAGUCCUAAUUAGACUAUAUUUUAAAUGAUAGAGCAAGGAAAACUGAAAUUCGGGCUAAAAUGGGGAAAAUACCAAGUGGUGGACGAAAUGGUAAAAAUAGCCAUUUUCGCAUACGAGUGUUGACAAGCCAGCUCGGAAAUCGGAAGCGGUCGGAGGCACGCUCACACUAUCCGUAUACCAUCUUGGCAUAAUGGCUUGUAUAUUUUGAGUAUGGCAUGUAUAGCAUUAUAAUCAUUUUGUAUAUAUGGUCUUAUGAUAUGGUUAUUGAGUUGUAUGGAAAUAGAAAUGCUUGGUAAUGAUUAGCCAUUGGAAUGGCUAAUCAUGAUCAUAUUUGGUAUUAUGUAUGUCAAAUUGCUAGCUAA